CCACAUCACAAUUCACAAUAACUGAGAAACUGCUCAAGUUAUUCCAAUAUUAAAACAAUCUUUCAGUAUUUCAACAAUGUGUGAUGUCAUUUCCUUCGUCAUAUAGAGAGGGAUCAGUUCAGUUUAUUUUAUCCUCCUCCCACUAUCAGAUGAGUUCAGUUCAGUGUCCGUCUUUAGCAGCAGAAGUCCAACAUGAUCACAGCUCUCCUUAUUCUAGCACUUCAUCAUUUUUCUGGUCAAGUGGAUGGAAGUGGUGUUUUCCAGAUGCCUGAUAUAAUCUGGGGUUCUCUAGGGAACUCUGCAGAAAUGAACUGCAGUCACAAUAAGGAUAUUACUUACAGACAGAUGUACUGGUUUAAGCAGCUUCCAGGAGAGGGAAUUACACUCCUUGUAUUCACAUCAGUUGGUGGUGAACCAGAUUAUGGGAAAUUCAGUAAAGACAAAUAUGAAGCAAUUAAGACUGUAGCUGAGAGUGGUUCUUUAACAGUGAAGACCUUGGAUCAAGGAGACGAUGCUUUGUAUUUCUGUGCUGUGAGCCAACACUGUGGUGAAAACUCACUACAGCGCUGAACAAAUACUGAAAGAACUAAUGAGAAUGUGUAGACAUUCAUGUGGUCUAUAGGAGGUGCUGGAGUUUCAUAUAUUCACUCAUUUAAAAGAGGUUUUAUAUGAAGCACCUUAUGUUAGCAGUAGAAUAAAUCCAAGGCAUGCGUGUGAGCAGUUUAGAGAGCUUGCUUAAGACAGUGCUAGGUUUUGAACUCACAGAACUUACCCAGACCUUAAACAAAGAGCUCCACUGUGUCACAUAAAGUGGAUGGAGACUAUGAGUUGGUAUAGCUUUUGCCUUAAGUCAUAUAAACCAUUACAUUUGGAUUGUGAGGCUUUAUAUAUAGUUAAUCUUGUACUAUUUUGUGAUAGACAAGCUCUCUGUGCAGUAUUCAAUGACUUAUUUUCUGUAUAGGCUUAAACAUUUUCAUAAUGAUCCCCAAAUAGAAAAAUACAGUUUGUGCACACGUUUUAUUUUACUUGUUCUGUGAUGAUUCUUGCGUUAUUUUCUGU
Ictalurus punctatus (channel catfish) is the source of this 1059-nucleotide non-coding RNA. The record is from the annotation of a RefSeq genome assembly. Lineage: Eukaryota; Metazoa; Chordata; Actinopteri; Siluriformes; Ictaluridae.